RNAcentral lists this ribosomal RNA (370 nucleotides) under uncultured bacterium. RNAcentral describes it as "bacterial SSU rRNA". It matches the Rfam family "Bacterial small subunit ribosomal RNA", at positions 527 to 896 of the family's 1533-position model. The record is from RNAcentral.
AGAGGGUGCGAGCGUUAAUCGGAAUUACUGGGCGUAAAGCGUACGUAGUCGGCUUGUCAAGUCGGGUGUGAAAUCCCCGGGCUUAACCUGGGAACUGCAUCCGAAACUGACUUGCUAGAGUAUGGGAGAGGGAGGCGGAAUUUCUGGUGUAGCAGUGAAAUGCGUAGAUAUCAGAAGGAACAUCAGUGGCGAAGGCGGCCUCCUGGACCAAUACUGACGAUCAGGUACGAAAGCGUGGGGAGCAAACAGGAUUAGAUACCCUGGUAGUCCACGCCCUAAACGAUGACAACUGGAUGUCGGGAGGGUUUGCCUUCCGGUGUCGUAGCUAACGCGUUAAGUUGUCCGCCUGGGAAGUACGGCCGCAAGGUUG